This 497-nucleotide ribosomal RNA is filed under the name uncultured bacterium. Its description in RNAcentral is "partial 16S ribosomal RNA". It matches the Rfam family "Bacterial small subunit ribosomal RNA", at positions 28 to 507 of the family's 1533-position model. The record is from RNAcentral.
GAUGAACGCUGGCGGCGUGCCUAAUACAUGCAAGUCGAGCGAACAGACGAGGAGCUUGCUCCUCUGACGUUAGCGGCGGACGGGUGAGUAACACGUGUAUAACCUACCUAUAAGACUGGGAUAACUUCGGGAAACCGGAGCUAAUACCGGAUAAUAUAUUGAACCGCAUGGUUCAAUAGUGAAAGACGGUUUUGCUGUCACUUAUAGAUGGAUCCGCGCCGCAUUAGCUAGUUGGUAGGGUAACGGCUUACCAAGGCAACGAUGCGUAGCCGACCUGAGAGGGUGAUCGGCCACACUAGAACUGAGACACGGUCCAGAGUCCUACGGGAGGCAGCAGUAGGGAAUGUGCCGCAAUAGGCGAAAGCAUGACGGAGCGACGCGGAGUGAGAGAUGAAGGUCUUCGGAUCGUAAUACUCUGUUAUUAGGGAAGAACAAAUGUGUAAGUAACUAUGCACGUCUUGACGGUAACUAGUCAGAAAGCAACGGCUAACUACGUG